UCAUCCUACGGGACGCAGCAGUGGGGGAUAUUGGACAAUGGGGGAAACCCUGAUCCAGCGAUGCCGCGUGAGGGAAGAAGGUUUUCGGAUUGUAAACCUCUGUGGAGGGGGACGAUAAUGACGGUACCCCUUUAGGAAGCCACGGCUAACUACGUGCCAGCAGCCGCGGUAAUACGUAGGUGGCAAGCGUUAUCCGGAUUUACUGGGUGUAAAGGGAGCGUAGACGGCUGCGCAAGUCAGAAGUGAAAGCCCGGGGCUCAACCGCGGGACUGCUUUUGAAACUGUAUAGCUAGAGUGCAGGAGAG
This 305-nucleotide ribosomal RNA is filed under the name uncultured bacterium. Its description in RNAcentral is "bacterial SSU rRNA". It matches the Rfam family "Bacterial small subunit ribosomal RNA", at positions 334 to 656 of the family's 1533-position model. The record is from RNAcentral.